Molecule: ribosomal RNA, 419 nt
Filed under: uncultured bacterium
Lineage: Bacteria
Description: bacterial SSU rRNA
Rfam family: Bacterial small subunit ribosomal RNA
Source: RNAcentral
CAUGCCUAACACAUGCAAGUCGAACGAGACCUUCGGGUCUAGUGGCGCACGGGUGCGUAACACGUGGGAAUUUGCCUCGGGGUAUGGAAUAACUCAGGGAAACUUGAGCUAAUACCAUAUAAUGUCUUCGGACCAAAGAUUUAUCGCCCUGAGAUAAGCCCGCGUAGGAUUAGCUAGUUGGUGAGGUAAAGGCUCACCAAGGCGACGAUCCUUAGCUGGUCUGAGAGGAUGAUCAGCCACACUGGGACUGAGACACGGCCCAGACUCCUACGGGAGGCAGCAGUGGGGGAAUAUUGGACAAUGGGCGAAAGCCUGAUCCAGCAAUGCCGCGUGAGUGAUGAAGGCCUUCGGGUUGUAAAGCUCUUUUACUCGGGACGAUAAUGACGGUACCGAGAGAAUAAGCCCCGGCUAACUCCGUG